This 449-nucleotide ribosomal RNA is filed under the name uncultured bacterium. RNAcentral's name for it is "partial 16S ribosomal RNA". It matches the Rfam family "Bacterial small subunit ribosomal RNA", at positions 29 to 523 of the family's 1533-position model. The record is from RNAcentral.
AACGAACGCUGGCGGCAUGCCUAACACAUGCAAGUCGAACGAAGCCUUCGGGCUUAGUGGCGCACGGGUGCGUAACGCGUGGGAAUCUGCCCCUUGGUUCGGAAUAACAGUUGGAAACGACUGCUAAUACCGGAUGAUGACGAAAGUCCAAAGAUUUAUCGCCAGAGGAUGAGCCCGCGUAGGAUUAGCUAGUUGGUGUGGUAAAGGCGCACCAAGGCGACGAUCCUUAGCUGGUCUGAGAGGAUGAUCAGCCACACUGGGACUGAGACACGGCCCAGACUCCUACGGGAGGCAGCAGUGGGGAAUAUUGGACAAUGGGCGAAAGCCUGAUCCAGCAAUGCCGCGUGAGUGAUGAAGGCCCUAGGGUUGUAAAGCUCUUUUACCCGGGAUGAUAAUGACAGUACCGGGAGAAUAGGCCCCGGCUAACUCCGUGCCAGCCGCCGCGGUAA